RNAcentral lists this ribosomal RNA (388 nucleotides) under Clostridium perfringens. RNAcentral's name for it is "bacterial LSU rRNA". It matches the Rfam family "Bacterial large subunit ribosomal RNA", at positions 154 to 545 of the family's 2925-position model. Lineage: Bacteria; Bacillati; Bacillota; Clostridia; Eubacteriales; Clostridiaceae. The record is from RNAcentral.
UUAAGUGAAUACAUAGCUUAAUGAAGGUAACCCAGGGAACUGAAACAUCUAAGUACCUGGAGGAAGAGAAAGAAAAAUCGAUUUUCUUAGUAGCGGCGAGCGAAAGGGAAAGAGCCCAAACCGGAAACUUGUUUCCGGGGUUGUGGACAUAGCAUCAAAGUGGAGGCUAUUGUAACUGAAGAGAACUGGAAAGUUCCACCGUAGAAGGUAAUAGUCCUGUAAGUGAAACGAGAAGACCACGAGUUAUGAUCCAGAGUACCACGAGACACGUGAAACCUUGUGGGAAGCAGGGAGGACCACCUCCCAAGGCUAAAUACUACCUGAUGACCGAUAGUGAAGCAGUACCGUGAGGGAAAGGUGAAAAGAACCCCGGGAGGGGAGUGAAAUA